GUGGGGAAUUUUGGACAAUGGGCGCAAGCCUGAUCCAGCAAUGCCGCGUGUGUGAAGAAGGUCUUCGGAUUGUAAAGCACUUUAAGUUGGGAGGAAGGGCAGUAAGUUAAUACCUUGCUGUUUUGACGUUACCGACAGAAUAAGCACCGGCUAACUUCGUGCCAGCAGCCGCGGUAAUACGAAGGGUGCAAGCGUUAAUCGGAAUUACUGGGCGUAAAGCGCGCGUAGGUGGUUUUGUAAGUUGGAGGUGAAAUCCCCGGGCUCAACCUGGGAACUGCCUCCAAAACUGCAUGACUAGAGUACGGUAGAGGGUAGUGGAAUUUCCUGUGUAGCGGUGAAAUGCGUAGAUAUAGGAAGGAACACCAGUGGCGAAGGCGACUACCUGGACUGAUACUGACACUGAGGUGCGAAAGCGUGGGGAGCAAACAGGAUUAGAAACCCGUGUAGUCC
This 450-nucleotide ribosomal RNA is filed under the name uncultured bacterium. RNAcentral's name for it is "partial 16S ribosomal RNA". It matches the Rfam family "Bacterial small subunit ribosomal RNA", at positions 354 to 796 of the family's 1533-position model. The record is from RNAcentral.